This 353-nucleotide transfer-messenger RNA is filed under the name Spirochaetales bacterium. RNAcentral's name for it is "partial transfer-messenger RNA". It matches the Rfam family "transfer-messenger RNA". From Rfam's summary of the family: Bacterial tmRNA, also known as 10Sa RNA or SsrA, is named for its dual tRNA and mRNA-like properties. Its role is to liberate the mRNA from a stalled ribosome. To accomplish this part of the tmRNA is used as a reading frame that ends in a translation stop signal. The record is from RNAcentral. Lineage: Bacteria; Pseudomonadati; Spirochaetota; Spirochaetia; Spirochaetales.
GGGGGUGUAUUGGUUUCGACUGGCGGGUUUCCAGGCCACCAGCUGCAGGUCAAGCGCCAACUUGUUAAACUAGCAAAAACCACAACUGCCAAGAAAGAAGACGAUUUCGUCCUCGACGAAGCAGAAUUCGCUCUCGCUGCUUAAUCGUAGCCAGAACGGACAAGGAAUGGGACGCCGCGCCCUUGGCCCCACUCCCUGUAAAUCCUUAGGGCUCAUCUAUGGCUGACGGAUGUAGGCUGUAGAGACACUUUUUCAUCCUGGGUUCCUUUAGGAUUGACCAGUUGCCGCCGGGAACCGAGAUUCAUCAGCCGGAUCUAAGCCUGUAGACGUUGAUGGAUGGUCCGAUAGGAGAU